This is a non-coding RNA of Coturnix japonica (Japanese quail), 790 nucleotides long. NCBI's taxonomy places the organism in Eukaryota, Metazoa, Chordata, Aves, Galliformes, Phasianidae. The record is from RefSeq and is a predicted model, not a curated record.
GUGGAGCUUGACUCCAUCUCCUCUAGACCUCAUUUAAGGGCUGACCACCACUAAGGCAGCAUCUCUUGGAGAUUGCUCCUCGGUGGAGAUUGUCUCAGCGGUUCCCAGCAGACCAAAGGCUUCCAUACGGGAGAGGAUGAGUUGAUUGAGCAAGAUGAGAAGGUGACUCUUCUGGAGGAAGUGCUACAGACAGUUCAGUUCUAUUGAGGAAGACGCUUCUUUUACAUGCUACCACUUAGAAUGUCACAGUUCGAGACUCCUUGAAAGAAGAUGACUACUGAAUCCAGGAAAGUUCAGCUUGCCUGUGGAAGGGAGAAGGGAUCUUGAUCUACGUUCCCUAGAUGGAUUUCAAAACUAAGUUAAUCAGUAAAAGUGGAGAAUGCACUAAGGACCAGCACAAACCUUCUGCAUCCUCAACAUGGGCCUUGAGCCAGUCCUCCUAGCACACAAAAAACAGAAGAAAGAUGCUGAAACCAAACCUGGUCGGUUGUAGUUUAUUACAAACUGGUUUUGUUCCUCACAGGAGUUGCUUACCACCACUUAGUUCCUGAGAGUUGCUUCUCACUUACGGCCAUGUAGAUUGUCUUUCAGAUCUGUAAUUAUCUGCUUCCUCAGAUAAAAGCACUAGACCAGAAAUUUUACGUUACUGCGCGUUUACCACUGUUUUGAGACUCUCAAAAUAGAGAAGGUGGUAUUUUUUAUUUGAACAAAGUGUACUUCGAGACUUAAGUUGUGUUAUAAUAGCACAUCUACCUGCUACCAUUAUUUUAAUAAAAUGAGAGCUGCUCUG